CAAACCACUGAGCUAAAUUUGGUUUUGAGUCAAUCAAUUCAUAUCAAAAUAUGAAUCAAUGCAAUCAACUACAAGUAAACUCAACUUUGAGCCCCUUUGAUCUAAUCCUAAUCAACUAUCGAUUAGGUUUAAUCAAUUGCUUAAAAUCAAAAAUAAAUUCUAGCCUGAUCUAAUCAAUUAGACCCUAAUUGUAGUUUGAUCACUCAGACCCAAUUUAUUCAUCCCAUACCCA
RNAcentral lists this long non-coding RNA (232 nucleotides) under Elaeis guineensis (African oil palm). RNAcentral's name for it is "long non-coding RNA (EGUI_LNC071761)". The record is from RNAcentral. Lineage: Eukaryota; Viridiplantae; Streptophyta; Magnoliopsida; Arecales; Arecaceae.